This 304-nucleotide ribosomal RNA is filed under the name uncultured bacterium. RNAcentral's name for it is "partial 16S ribosomal RNA". It matches the Rfam family "Bacterial small subunit ribosomal RNA", at positions 509 to 809 of the family's 1533-position model. The record is from RNAcentral.
CAGCAGCCGCCACGGGAAUACGGAGGGGGCUAGCGUUAUUCGGAAUUACUGGGCGUAAAGCGCACGUAGGCGGCUUUGUAAGUAAGAGGUGAAAGCCCGGGGCCCAACCCCGGAAUUGCCUUUUAGACUGCAUCGCUUGAAUCAUGGAGAGGUCAGUAGAAUUCCGAGUGUAGAGGUGAAACUCGUAGAUAUUCGGAGGAACACCAGUGGCGAAGGCGGCUCACUGGUCCAUUACUGACGCUGAGGUGCGAAAGCGUGGGGAGCAAACAGGAUUAGAUACCCGAGUAGUCCCUGUCUCUUAUAA